UACGUAGGGGGCAAGCGUUGUCCGGAUUUAUUGGGCUUAAAGGGUGCGUAGGCGGUCUAUUAAGUCAGUGCUGAAAUAUCCCGGCUUAACCGGGAGGGUGGCAUUGAUACUGAUGGACUUGAGUGCAGUCGAGGUAGGCGGAAUUGACGGUGUAGCGGUGAAAUGCUUAGAUAUCGUCAAGAACACCGAUAGUGAAGACAGCUUACUAGACUGUAACUGACGCUGAGGCACGAAAGUGUGGGGAUCAAACAGG
RNAcentral lists this ribosomal RNA (253 nucleotides) under uncultured bacterium. Its description in RNAcentral is "partial 16S ribosomal RNA". It matches the Rfam family "Bacterial small subunit ribosomal RNA", at positions 524 to 776 of the family's 1533-position model. The record is from RNAcentral.